This 426-nucleotide ribosomal RNA is filed under the name uncultured bacterium. Its description in RNAcentral is "bacterial SSU rRNA". It matches the Rfam family "Bacterial small subunit ribosomal RNA", at positions 354 to 796 of the family's 1533-position model. The record is from RNAcentral.
GUAGGGAAUAUUGGUUAAUGGGCGAAAGCCCGAACCAGCAACGCCGCGUGCGCGAUGAAGGCCUUCGGGUUGUAAAGCGCUUUUGGAGGGGAUGAGAAAGGACAGUACCCUCAGAAUAAGCCUCGGCUAACUACGUGCCAGCAGCCGCGGUAAAACGUAGGAGGCGAGCGUUAUCCGGAUUUACUGGGCGUAAAGCGCGUGCAGGUGGUACGGUUAGUUGGAUGUGAAAGCUCCUGGCUAAACUGGGAGAGGUCGUUCAAUACUGCCGAACUAGAGGAUGGGAGAGGAAGGUGGAAUUCCGAGUGUAGUGGUGAAAUGCGUAGAUAUUCGGAGGAACACCAGUGGCGAAAGCGGCCUUCUGGCCCAUUUCUGACACUCAGACGCGAAAGCUAGGGGAGCGAACGGGAUUAGAAACCCUAGUAGUCC